AGCAAUGGGCAUUUGCGAGUGCUGCAUGGUUGUCGUCAGCUCGUGUCGUGAGAUGUUGGGUUAAGUCCCGCAACGAGCGCAACCCCUGUCUCUAGUUACCAUCAUUAAGUUGGGGACUCUAGAGAUACUGCCAAGGUUAAUUUGGAGGAAGGUGGGGAUGACGUCAAGUCCUCAUGGCCUUUAUGUCCAGGGCUACACACGUGCUACAAUGGACGGUACAGAGGGUAGCGAUAUCGCGAGAUGGAGCCAAUCCCAAAAAGCCGUUCCCAGUUCGGAUUGGAGUCUGCAACUCGACUCCAUGAAGUUGGAAUCGCUAGUAAUCGCGGAUCAGCAUGCCCGCGGUCCGAAUACGUUCCGGGCCUU
This 363-nucleotide ribosomal RNA is filed under the name uncultured Desulfobacteraceae bacterium. RNAcentral describes it as "bacterial SSU rRNA". It matches the Rfam family "Bacterial small subunit ribosomal RNA", at positions 1020 to 1382 of the family's 1533-position model. The record is from RNAcentral. Lineage: Bacteria; Pseudomonadati; Thermodesulfobacteriota; Desulfobacteria; Desulfobacterales; Desulfobacteraceae.